This 451-nucleotide long non-coding RNA is filed under the name Homo sapiens (human). RNAcentral describes it as "HSALNT0105845". The record is from RNAcentral. Lineage: Eukaryota; Metazoa; Chordata; Mammalia; Primates; Hominidae.
UGCUCAUUUAGAAUUUCUGCAAUGGUUGCCAAACUGUUCUCCAGAGGGUUUGUUCCAAUUUACAUGCUCAGCAGAAAGAUCUGAGUGCUGCUUCAACAAAUCUUUGCCAACUCAGUGUACUGACAGACAUUUGAUCUUUGCCAAUCUGAUAGGUGAACAUGGUCAUAGCAGCCCCAUUCCAGAGAGAAUCCUGCUCCAUACACAGAAGGAAGGAAUGCAGGCUCAAAGGCCAAGAAGAAUCUAGACAGACAGGCCCUGCUGGGUUUCUCCAUUCCAUCUAUGAGCAUUAAAGCAUACCCUUAUUGUCCAACCGUAUUUCCACACAGCUGUCCAUAAAAACUUUGUUGAACCUAAGUAUAAAAAUGAAUGAUGUCCUUUGUAUCUUUGGGUCUUCAUUCUGAAGGCUGCUGUGUACACCUUAAAUAAAUGCGUAUGCCUUUUCUCCAAUUAA